Molecule: long non-coding RNA, 286 nt
Organism: Apis florea (little honeybee)
Lineage: Eukaryota; Metazoa; Arthropoda; Insecta; Hymenoptera; Apidae
Gene: Hpf1
Source: RefSeq, a predicted model, not a curated record
AAACUCCAUUGUUGAGUUACGCGGCAGACGCAGAGAAAAUUUGUUCAGCAAGAAAACUAUCGCUUUCCCUUGGGAAAAUCAUCAGAAAAUCUUGAAUUCAUCCGUAUGAUGGAGCCACGAUAUAGAUAUUUCGUUAUUUAAUCAUAAAAGAAUGUCAAACGAUAAAGAAGAGCAAUUUAGAACUUAUAGAGAAGAUAGACGAAUUCCGUGUCGAUAUGGGACUAAAUGUUAUCAAAAAAAUGCAAUUCAUCUUGAAAAAUAUAAACAUCCACCUACAAAAGAACGG